RNAcentral lists this ribosomal RNA (468 nucleotides) under uncultured bacterium. RNAcentral describes it as "partial 16S ribosomal RNA". It matches the Rfam family "Bacterial small subunit ribosomal RNA", at positions 28 to 507 of the family's 1533-position model. The record is from RNAcentral.
GACGAACGCUGGCGGCGUGCUUAACACAUGCAAGUCGAACGGAAAGGCCCUGCUUUUGUGGGGUGCUCGAGUGGCGAACGGGUGAGUAACACGUGAGUAACCUGCCCUUGACUUUGGGAUAACUUCAGGAAACUGGGGCUAAUACCGGAUAGGAGCUCCUGCUGCAUGGUGGGGGUUGGAAAGUUUCGGCGGUCGGGGAUGGACUCGCGGCUUAUCAGCUUGUUGGUGGGGUAGUGGCUUACCAAGGCUUUGACGGGUAGCCGGCCUGAGAGGGUGACCGGCGACAAUGGGACUGAGGUACGGCCCAGACUGCUACGGGGGGCAGCAGUGGGGAAUAUUGCACAGUGGGCGGAAGCCUGAUGCAGCAACGCCGCGUGCGGAAUGACGGCCUUCGGGUUGUAAACCGCUUUCGCCUGUGACGAAGCGUGAGUGACGGUAAUGAGUAAAGAAGCACCGGCUAACUACGUG